AAAUUUAUAAUGAGGGAGGGUUAAAUCAACUCUAAAAAGUAUCGUCUUGAAAAUUUUAUUUUCAAUAUAUAAGAUAUAUCCCUGUAGUUAAAACUUAAAAAAAGCAAUAUAGAUUAAUUCUAAAAGAAUAACUUUACUCAUAAAGUGAAAAAUGAGAUUAAUUUUACUUCCUGAAGUAAAUCAUUUUAUUAAGGAAAGGAAAGGAAAUCAACCGAGACUCCGAAAGUAAUGGUGAGUGAAAUCGGAUAAGCCAAUAUAGCUAAAAAAUUUACAAACUAUUUCAUUAAUCUAUUAUUAAAAUUAAAAAUUUUAUUUCUUGUUUAUAGUAGAUUCUAAUAAGGAAUUUACAAUAGCUAAAAUUAAAAAAUUUUAUUAAAUUAAGAUUAAACAACUUGACAAAAUUGGUAUAUAAAACAGUUCCAGUAGUAAAUAAAUUUUAGUUAUUAAAUAAGUACGAUGAGAGUAAACUUGUCGGAAUAAAGGGGAACCAUCCUCUAAGGCUAAGUAUUAUAAAUUUAGCGAUAGUGCAACAGUACUGUAAAGGAAAGUUAAGGUAAUUAAGUGUUUUAAUACCACCAAAUAGGAAAGCUAAGAAACUUUUCUAUUUUCUAAUAGUAGCUCUAUAAGCAGUCGGAAUUUUUUUAAUGACGGCGUACCUUUUGCAUAAUGGGUCAGCAAGUUAAUAAAAGUAGCAAGGUUUAAAGCCUUAGCGAAAGCGACUGGAUUAUUUAUUUGAAUACUUAAAAUUUAGACAUAACAUUUGUAAGUCAAAUUUUAAAUUUAGUAUCUUUUUUAUAAAUAGUAUUGGGUAUAGUUACUUUUAUUAGACCCGAAGCCAGGUGAUCUUUCUAUGGCCAGAUUAUAAAUUAGGAUCGAACGGUUGAAUGUUGCAUAAUUCUCCGAAGAGCUGUGGAAAGUUGUGAAAUGCAAAUCUAACCUGGUGAUAGCUGGUUUUCUACGAAACAUAUUUAAGUAUGACAUUUUUCUAGAUUUAUGCUGGUACAGUACGGCAGUUACAAAACUAAUAAAUUAAUUUUUAUUAGUUAAGUUUGAGGGGACUUAGAAAAUCUUACCAAUGUAAGUGAAACUCGGAAUAACAUAAAUUGAUGAUAAAUUUUCAGACUGCUCAUGCGAAGUUGGGUAGUCAAGACGAAAACAGUCGAGAGCAUGAAUUUAAGGUCCCAAAUGAUUAUUAAGUGAAAUUAAGGUUGUAACAUAUUGAAUGCAGCUGAAAAGUGAGCCUGGUAGUCGCUACUUUUAAUGAACGUAUAGUAACAACGCAUCAGCCUAAACCUAACCAUUUAUAAAAAUAUAAUGGAUAGGCAAGAUUGUAGCACCUAAAAUUUAACGGGUCUAAGUAAUCAACCGAUAUCAUGCUACUUUAUUAUAAAACAUAAUAAAUUUAUUUUUCUUUUUUAUAAUAAGGUUAGGUAGUAGAACAUUCAGAACAAGAGAUAGACAGUGUUUCAUUGUUUAGAUGUAACUGAAGAGAUAAUGCUGACAUGAGUAACGAAAAAAGAAGUUUAAAAACUUCUCGCCGAAUGCGUAAGGUUUUUUCAGAUAUGUUGAACUACUGAUAUAAUAAUGCGGCCUCUAAGGAGAAAAAACCAAUGUUUUAUCUGAUGAGUAUUAAAUAGAAAGUUCAUAAAAUUUAAAAUAAUAUUAAAAAUAUUAAAUUAAAUUGAACCAAGAAAAUAAUAAUUAAUCUACCGUACCAAAACUAACACUAGUGCGCUAGUUGAGAAUACUAAGGCGUUGAGCGAAGACUUGUUAAGGAACUCGGCAAGAACCCUUCAUAAGUUAGGCGAAAAGAAGGACCACUUUGACUUAGCUUCACUAUAAGCUAAUAUCUUCGGUGGUGACACAAAAUCGGGGGCCCCGACUGUUUACUAAAAACAUAAGAAUCUGCAAUGAUUAAUGUCAUAGUAUAGGUUCUGAAAUUUGCCCAAUGCCAUUAAUAUAAGAAAGGUAAUGAAAGUUACUAAUCGAACAUCUGGUUAAUAGCGGUCUUAACUAUGAGGAUCCAAAGGUAGCAAAAUCAGUUGGCCAUUAAAUGUGGUCUGGUAUCAAUAAUGUAACGAUGGUCCCACUGUCUCUACAAGUCGCUCAGUGAAAUUGAAUUGUGAGUGCAGAUGCUCACUACCUCCGGGGGGACGGGAAGACCCUAUGCAGCUUUACUGUAUUUAGUUAUCACAUUAAUCUACAACAGGGCUGAUUAAUAGUAAUUAGGGAUGUCGAUAGACAAAAGAUGGAAUACCUUCUAAUUAGAACUGGGUUAAUGUUAACCUUUACCUAACAGUAAAGAGAUAAUUGACUAAUUGACAGUUUGACUGGGGCGGUCGUCUUUAAUAGAGUAGCAAAGUACAUCCGAAUAUAUUAAAAUUUUUAAUUAACACCUCGAAAAUUUUAUUAAAUUUUCGUUUAAAAAUAAAGUAUAAAUUAAGUUAUUUACACUUUCUUAAUUUAGCUGAACUUUAAAAUUUAAUCAAUUUAUUUUGUAUAUGUUUUUAAUUUAUUAAAAAUACAUAGUAAGGUAGAGCUAGAAAUUGAAUGGGAAUCAAUCUGCCAGUGAAUAGGCAGUGGAAAGAGCAGAAUGGCGGAAAGCAUGCCUAACUGAAAGACCCAUAAGUCGCACAGAUACGUAAGUAGGGCAUAGUGACCCCUCGCUAUAAUAUGGAAUAGACGGGGAUCAAUAGAUAAAAGUUACGCUAGGGAUAACAGGCUGAUAGUUCGCGAGAGUACACAUUGUCCGGACUGUUUGGCACCUCGAUGUCGACUCAACCUAUCCUCCGGGAGUACAAGCUCGGAAGGGUUGGGCUGUUCGCCCAUUAAAAGGUUACGUGAGUUGGGUUUAAUACGACGUGAGUCAGUAUGGUCCCUAUCUUCCGGAGGAACAAAUAGUAAAAAGGGGUAGACCUUCCAGUACGAAAGGACCAAUAGGCUGUGUUUCAAUCGUGUACCAAUUGUUGGAAAAUUAAUCUCUGGCAUAGUUGGGUAGCCACAAACAUGAUGGUUAAGAGCUGAAUGUAUAUAAAGCAGGAAACCACCCUCUAGAUACUAUCACUUAAGUAAUUAAUAUUUAAUUAUUUAAUAAGAUAAGAAAUAGAAGAUUUCUUAAUAGGAUACAAGUGUAUUUGUCUUGAGACAAUAAAGCUUAGUAUUAAC
This 3165-nucleotide ribosomal RNA is filed under the name Phallus echinovolvatus. RNAcentral's name for it is "large subunit ribosomal RNA". It matches the Rfam family "Bacterial large subunit ribosomal RNA". The record is from RNAcentral. Lineage: Eukaryota; Fungi; Basidiomycota; Agaricomycetes; Phallales; Phallaceae.